CGUGGCCUACGGGGCGCAGCAGUAGGUCCUCUUCCCCCCUUUGCGACCGCCUGAUGGAGCAACGCCGCGUGGGUGAAGAAGGUCUUCGGAUCGUAAAACCCUGUUGUUAGAGAAGAAAGUGCGUGAGAGUAACUGUUCACGUUUCGACGGUAUCUAACCAGAAAACCACGGCUAACUACGUGCCAGCAGCCGCGGUAAUACGUAGGUGGCAAGCGUUAUCCGGAUUUAUUGGGCGUAAAGGGAACGCAGGCGGUCUUUUAAGU
Molecule: ribosomal RNA, 263 nt
Filed under: uncultured bacterium
Lineage: Bacteria
Description: partial 16S ribosomal RNA
Rfam family: Bacterial small subunit ribosomal RNA
Source: RNAcentral